UACGUAGGGUGCGAGCGUUGUCCGGAAUUACUGGGUGUAAAGGGAGCGUAGGCGGGUUGACAAGUUGGAUGUCAAAUCUAUCGGCUUAACUGAUAAUCGCAUUCAAAACUGUCGAUCUUGAGUGAAGUAGAGGCAGGCGGAAUUCCUAGUGUAGCGGUGAAAUGCGUAGAUAUUAGGAGGAACACCAGUGGCGAAGGCGGCCUGCUGGGCUUUUACUGACGCUGAGGCUCGAAAGCGUGGGGAGCAAACA
This 250-nucleotide ribosomal RNA is filed under the name uncultured prokaryote. Its description in RNAcentral is "partial 16S ribosomal RNA". It matches the Rfam family "Bacterial small subunit ribosomal RNA", at positions 524 to 774 of the family's 1533-position model. The record is from RNAcentral.